RNAcentral lists this ribosomal RNA (468 nucleotides) under uncultured bacterium. RNAcentral's name for it is "partial 16S ribosomal RNA". It matches the Rfam family "Bacterial small subunit ribosomal RNA", at positions 28 to 507 of the family's 1533-position model. The record is from RNAcentral.
GACGAACGCUGGCGGCGUGCUUAACACAUGCAAGUCGAACGGAAAGGCCCUGCUUUUGUGGGGUGCUCGAGUGGCGAACGGGUGAGUAACACGUGAGUAACCUGCCCUUGACUUUGGGAUAACUUCAGGAAACUGGGGCUAAUACCGGAUAGGAGCUCCUGCUGCACGGUGGGGGUUGGAAAGUUUCGGCGGUUGGGGAUGGACUCGCGGCUUAUCAGCUUGUUGGUGGGGUAGUGGCUUACCAAGGCUUUGACGGGUAGCCGGCCUGAGAGGAUGACCGGCCACAUUGGGACUGAGAUACGGCCCAGACUCCUACGGGAGGCAGCAGUGGGGAAUAUUGCACAAUGGGCGGAAGCCUGAUGCAGCAACGCCGCGUGCGGGAUGACGGCCUUCGGGUUGUAAACCGCUUUCGCCUGUGACGAAGCGUGAGUGACGGUAAUGGGUAAAGAAGCACCGGCUAACUACGUG